GACGAACGCUGGCGGCGUGCUUAACACAUGCAAGUCGAACGAUGAUGCCCAGCUUGCCGGGUGGAUUAGUCGCGAACGGGUGAGUAACACGCGAGUAACCUGCCCCUGACUCUGGGAUAAGCGUUGGAAACGACGUCUAAUACUGGAUAUGACUACUGGUCGCAUGGCCUGGUGGGGGAAAGAUUGUUGGGUUGGGGAUGGGCUCGCGGCCUAUCAGCUUGUUGGUGAGGUAAUGGCUCACCAAGGCGACGAAGGGUAGCCGGCCUGAGUGGGUGGCCGGCCACACUGGGACUGAGACACGGCCCAGACUCCUACGGGAGGCAGCAGUGGGGAAUAUUGCACAAUGGGCGAAAGCCUGAUGCAGCGACGCCGCGUGAGGGAUGACGGCCUUCGGGUUGUAAACCUCUUUUAGUAGGGAAGAAGCGAAAGUGACGGUACCUGCAGAAAAAGCACCGGCUAACUACGUGCCAGCCGCCGCCGUAA
This 483-nucleotide ribosomal RNA is filed under the name uncultured bacterium. RNAcentral describes it as "partial 16S ribosomal RNA". It matches the Rfam family "Bacterial small subunit ribosomal RNA", at positions 28 to 523 of the family's 1533-position model. The record is from RNAcentral.